Molecule: ribosomal RNA, 253 nt
Filed under: uncultured bacterium
Lineage: Bacteria
Description: partial 16S ribosomal RNA
Rfam family: Bacterial small subunit ribosomal RNA
Source: RNAcentral
UACGUAGGGGGCAAGCGUUGUCCGGAUUUAUUGGGCGUAAAGAGCGUGUAGGCGGCCAGGUAGGUCAGCUGUGAAAACUCGAGGCUCAACCUCGAGCUGUCGGCUGAAACCAUCUGGCUAGAGUCCGGAAGAGGAGAGUGGAAUUCCUGGUGUAGCGGUGAAAUGCGCAGAUAUCAGGAAGAACACCAAUGGCGAAGGCAGCUCUCUGGGACGGUACUGACGCUGAGACGCGAAAGCGUGGGGAGCAAACAGG